GGUUAAGCGACUAAGCGUACACGGUGGAUGCCCUGGCAGUCAGAGGCGAUGAAGGACGUGCUAAUCUGCGAAAAGCGUCGGUAAGGUGAUAUGAACCGUUAUAGCCGGCGAUGUCCGAAUGGGGAAACCCAGUGCAAUUCGUUGCACUAUCGUUAACUGAAUACAUAGGUUAACGAGGCGAACCGGGGGAACUGAAACAUCUAAGUACCCCGAGGAAAAGAAAUCAACCGAGAUUCCCCCAGUAGCGGCGAGCGAACGGGGAGCAGCCCAGAGUCUGAAUCAGCUUGUGUGUUAGUGGAACGGUCUGGAAAGUCCGACGGUACAGGGUGAUAGUCCCGUACACCAAAAUGCACAGGUUGUGAACUCGAAGAGUAGGGCGGGACACGUGGUAUCCUGUCUGAAUAUGGGGGGACCAUCCUCCAAGGCUAAAUACUCCUGACUGACCGAUAGUGAACCAGUACCGUGAGGGAAAGGCGAAAAGAACCCCGGCGAGGGGAGUGAAAAAGAACCUGAAACCGUGUACGUACAAGCAGUGGGAGCACCUUCGGGUGUGACUGCGUACCUUUGUAUAAUGGGUCAGCGACUUAUAUUCUGUAGCAAGGUUAACCGUAUAGGGGAGCCGCAGGGAAACCGAGUCUUAACUGGGCGUUAAGUUGCAGGGUAUAGACCCGAAACCCGGUGAUUCUAGCCAUGGGCAGGUUGAAGGUUGGGUAACACUAACUGGAGGACCGAACCGACUAAUGUUGAAAAAUUAGCGGAUGACUUGUGGCUGGGGGUGAAAGGCCAAUCAAACCGGGAGAUAGCUGGUUCUCCCCGAAAGCUAUUUAGGUAGCGCCUCGUGAAUUCAUCUUCGGGGGUAGAGCACUGUUUCGGCUAGGGGGUCAUCCCGACUUACCAACCCGAUGCAAACUACGAAUACCGAAGAAUGUUAUCACGGGAGACACACGGCGGGUGCUAACGUCCGUCGUGAAGAGGGAAACAACCCAGACCGCCAGCUAAGGUCCCAAAGUCAUGGUUAAGUGGGAAACGAUGUGGGAAGGCACAGACAGCCAGGAUGUUGGCUUAGAAGCAGCCAUCAUUUAAAGAAAGCGUAAUAGCUCACUGGUCGAGUCGGCCUGCGCGGAAGAUGUAACGGGGCUAAACCAUGCACCGAAGCUGCGGCAGCGACACUAUGUGUUGUUGGGUAGGGGAGCGUUCUGUAAGCCUGCGAAGGUGGCCUGUGAGGGUUGCUGGAGGUAUCAGAAGUGCGAAUGCUGACAUAAGUAACGAUAAAGCGGGUGAAAAGCCCGCUCGCCGGAAGACCAAGGGUUCCUGUCCAACGUUAAUCGGGGCAGGGUGAGUCGACCCCUAAGGCGAGGCCGAAAGGCGUAGUCGAUGGGAAACAGGUUAAUAUUCCUGUACUUGGUGUUACUGCGAAGGGGGGACGGAGAAGGCUAUGUUAGCCGGGCGACGGUUGUCCCGGUUUAAGCAUGUAGGCGGAGGUUCCGGUAAAUCCGGUACCUUUUAACGCUGAGGUGUGAUGACGAGGCACUACGGUGCUGAAGUAACAAAUGCCCUGCUUCCAGGAAAAGCCUCUAAGCAUCAGGUAACAUCAAAUCGUACCCCAAACCGACACAGGUGGUCAGGUAGAGAAUACCAAGGCGCUUGAGAGAACUCGGGUGAAGGAACUAGGCAAAAUGGUGCCGUAACUUCGGGAGAAGGCACGCUGGUGUGUAGGUGAAGUCCCUGCGGAUGGAGCUGAGACCAGUCGAAGAUACCAGCUGGCUGCAACUGUUUAUUAAAAACACAGCACUGUGCAAACACGAAAGUGGACGUAUACGGUGUGACGCCUGCCCGGUGCCGGAAGGUUAAUUGAUGGGGUUAUCCGUAAGGAGAAGCUCUUGAUCGAAGCCCCGGUAAACGGCGGCCGUAACUAUAACGGUCCUAAGGUAGCGAAAUUCCUUGUCGGGUAAGUUCCGACCUGCACGAAUGGCGUAAUGAUGGCCAGGCUGUCUCCACCCGAGACUCAGUGAAAUUGAACUCGCUGUGAAGAUGCAGUGUACCCGCGGCAAGACGGAAAGACCCCGUGAACCUUUACUAUAGCUUGACACUGAACAUUGAGCCUUGAUGUGUAGGAUAGGUGGGAGGCUUUGAAGCGUGGACGCCAGUCUGCGUGGAGCCAACCUUGAAAUACCACCCUUUAAUGUUUGAUGUUCUAACGUUGGCCCCUUAUCGGGGUUGCGGACAGUGUCUGGUGGGUAGUUUGACUGGGGCGGUCUCCUCCCAAAGAGUAACGGAGGAGCACGAAGGUUAGCUAAUCCUGGUCGGACAUCAGGAGGUUAGUGCAAUGGCAUAAGCUAGCUUGACUGCGAGCGUGACGGCGCGAGCAGGUGCGAAAGCAGGUCAUAGUGAUCCGGUGGUUCUGAAUGGAAGGGCCAUCGCUCAACGGAUAAAAGGUACUCCGGGGAUAACAGGCUGAUACCGCCCAAGAGUUCAUAUCGACGGCGGUGUUUGGCACCUCGAUGUCGGCUCAUCACAUCCUGGGGCUGAAGUAGGUCCCAAGGGUAUGGCUGUUCGCCAUUUAAAGUGGUACGCGAGCUGGGUUUAGAACGUCGUGAGACAGUUCGGUCCCUAUCUGCCGUGGGCGCUGGAGAAUUGAGGGGGGCUGCUCCUAGUACGAGAGGACCGGAGUGGACGCAUCACUGGUGUUCGGGUUGUCAUGCCAAUGGCACUGCCCGGUAGCUAAAUGCGGAAGAGAUAAGUGCUGAAAGCAUCUAAGCACGAAACUUGCCCCGAGAUGAGUUCUCCCUGAGACUUUAAGUCUCCUGAAGGAACGUUGAAGACGACGACGUUGAUAGGCCGGGUGUGUAAGCGCAGCGAUGCGUUGAGCUAACCGGUACUAAUGAACCGUGAGGCUUAACCUU
This 2903-nucleotide ribosomal RNA is filed under the name Klebsiella variicola. Its description in RNAcentral is "23S ribosomal RNA". It matches the Rfam family "Bacterial large subunit ribosomal RNA". Lineage: Bacteria; Pseudomonadati; Pseudomonadota; Gammaproteobacteria; Enterobacterales; Enterobacteriaceae. The record is from RNAcentral.